AUUGAACGCUGGUGGCAUGCCUUACACAUGCAAGUCGAACGGUAACAGGUCUUCGGAUGCUGACGAGUGGCGAACGGGUGAGUAAUACAUCGGAACGUGCCCGAUCGUGGGGGAUAACGCAGCGAAAGCUGUGCUAAUACCGCAUACGAUCUACGGAUGAAAGCGGGGGAUCGCAAGACCUCGCGCGGACGGAGCGGCCGAUGGCAGAUUAGGUAGUUGGUGGGAUAAAAAGCUUACCAAGCCGACGAUCUGUAGCUGGUCUGAGAGGACGACCAGCCACACUGGGACUGAGACACGGCCCAGACUCCUACGGGAGGCAGCAGUGGGGAAUUUUGGACAAUGGGGGAAACCCUGAUCCAGCCAUGCCGCGUGCAGGAUGAAGGCCUUCGGGUUGUAAACUGCUUUUGUACGGUAACGAAAAGGUACCUUUCUAAUAAAGAGGGCUCAUGACGGUACCGUAAGAAUAAGCACCGGCUAACUACGUGCCAGCAGCCGCGGU
Molecule: ribosomal RNA, 499 nt
Filed under: uncultured bacterium
Lineage: Bacteria
Description: bacterial SSU rRNA
Rfam family: Bacterial small subunit ribosomal RNA
Source: RNAcentral